GGGAGUAUGGAGCUGCUUCACUGACAGUGAGAGUUUAAAACUAGAACACCAACAUUAAAUUCACAUUCAAGCAAUUUUAACAAAUAUGAAGCAUGAAAUAAAGUCACACAUUCGGAGUCAAUUCCUCGGUUUCUAGGAAAGCAUGCAGCAGACAUUUUUAAUCGGUCUACUAUUUUCCUCAUUUGAGCUGUAGCAAUUGCAGAAAUAAAAAUUACAUCUUUUUUUACAAACAUAUUAAGUGCUUGAGAGCUACAUACAGACAAGAUGUGCUUUAGCUGUGAUGAAGUUUAUGUGAGUGUGUGAACUAAACAAAUGAAAGAUUAAAUAAAUGUUAAUAAAUCCAAAAAUACUGACCAGGGCAAGAAAAAAAAAGAUAAUUUUGCAUGUCGAUAUUUUUAUGAAAGUAUUCAAUUUUAAAAUAGCCUAUUAAAUUGUGUUUUCAGGCGAGCGUAAUUUUCCCAUAAUUCAGUGCGUGAGGUCAAUCCGAACUCUGCUACUAUGCUAAUGCUAGGCUAGCACGUAGGUCCUGGCUGCCUUGGAGGCUCUUUGAAGCGGCUGUCAGUCACAUAAAUGUUUGUUCUUCUUGAGAGAAAGAUUAAACGUCUAACAGCAGAUCCUGCUGCUGAAGUGAGCGAUGAAGAAGAAGUCAAGGAACAGCACUCAAGUUACCUGUUGAGUCCUGCUCUUCACCUCAGACAACCAGAAAUCCCAGAGGUGCAGCAGGAUCCACAGUCUGUGAUGUUGCCUCAGGGGGAGAUUAGGAGGGGCAGCCGGCCCUCUGUGUCACGUCGACAGUCACAGCGCCCAUCCGCUGCUGGGCCAAACCCCACUGGGACCUUAAAUCCUGUUACACUGUCAGCUAAAACCAUCAUUUGUAUUAGAGAUGUGUGGGUGUUUAAGUGUGU
This 905-nucleotide long non-coding RNA is filed under the name Cottoperca gobio. RNAcentral's name for it is "lncRNA (ENSCGOG00000001583.1)". Lineage: Eukaryota; Metazoa; Chordata; Actinopteri; Perciformes; Bovichtidae. The record is from RNAcentral.